UACAGAGGUCUCAACCGUUGUUCGGAUUCAUUGGGCGUAAAGGGUGCGUAGGCGGUCGCGCAAGUCGGAUGUGAAAUCUUAGGGCUCAACCCUGAAACUGCAUUCGAUACUGCGUGGCUUGAGUGCUGGAGGGGAGACUGGAAUUUACGGUGUAGCAGUGAAAUGCGUAGAUAUCGUAAGGAAGACCAGUGGCGAAGGCGAGUCUCUGGACAGCAACUGACGCUGAGGCACGAAGGCCAGGGGAGCAAAC
This 250-nucleotide ribosomal RNA is filed under the name uncultured bacterium. Its description in RNAcentral is "partial 16S ribosomal RNA". It matches the Rfam family "Bacterial small subunit ribosomal RNA", at positions 524 to 773 of the family's 1533-position model. The record is from RNAcentral.